ACACGCAUGACACACUGCAUAUCAAUAAGCGGAGGAAAAGAAACUAACAAGGAUUCCCCUAGUAACGGCGAGUGAAGCGGGAAGAGCUCAAAUUUGAAAUCUUCAAGGGUUUCCCUUUACGAAUUGUAGUUUAAAGAAGUGUUUUCUGUUGGAGUUUCGGUAAAAGUUCUUUGGAAUAGGACAUCAUAGAGGGUGAGAAUCCCGUAUUUGACCGUUACUUUCCAGCUGUGUGAUACACUUUCAAAGAGUCGGAUCGUUUGGGAAUGCAGUCCAAAAUGGGUGGUAAAUUUCAUCUAAAGCUAAAUAUUGGCGAGAGACCGAUAGCGAACAAGUACCGUGAGGGAAAGAUGAAAAGAACUUUGAAAAGAGAGUUAAACAGUACGUGAAAUUGUCAAAAGGGAAGCGUUUGACACCAGUGUUGUUUAGUUGAAAAUCAAUUCAAUAAUUUUUGAUUUUGAGUAGUAUUGACUUCAUCAGCUUGCUGCUUUCUUUUCGGAAAUUAUUGAAUGCACUUUUCAGUUAACAAGUCAACAUCAAUUUCUUUUGUUGUAAAAGGGUAAGAGGAAGGUGGCUUACGCUUACGGCGUAAGUGUUUAUAGCCUUUUACCUCUGCAAUCGGAGAGAUUGAGGACAGCAGCGUAGACUCUUCGGGGUUAGAUACACUUGUGCUAAGCUAUAGCCUUGUAUAGACAACUUGUUGACUAUGCUCAGUCAUGUAGCUUACUCGCUUGUGCUAUUUUACCUACGCUUAGGAUGUUGAAGACUCUACAGAGAUA
This 776-nucleotide ribosomal RNA is filed under the name uncultured Neocallimastigales. Its description in RNAcentral is "partial large subunit ribosomal RNA". It matches the Rfam family "Eukaryotic large subunit ribosomal RNA", at positions 23 to 619 of the family's 3401-position model. Lineage: Eukaryota; Fungi; Neocallimastigomycota; Neocallimastigomycetes; Neocallimastigales. The record is from RNAcentral.